AUGAUAUAUAAUCGGUUUUUGAUGAUUUACCUUCUGGCUGAUAAAUUGUCUUCAUUCCCUAUAGCUGAUUGCAAAGUACAAUUACUAGGAGUUGAUUUUACUGGUGGUGAUACUUCUGAACCUUGCACAUUUAUUUUCUCAUCUUCAUCUGACUGUGAAGUAUUUUCUUCGGAUAGAAAUAAUUCUUUCUCUUCAUUAAAGUCCCAUUCCACCAAUAACUCAAUAAUAACCUCUGCAUAUUUUUUUACCCAAAAUUGUUGCUUUUUUACUUAUGCAAUUAUUAUCACUUGAUGUUCCUUCAAUAAUUUUAAAUUUUUCUAAAAUUUGGCUACAAAUCUUUCGUCCAUCUAUAAUAUCCUGCUUUCCAUAUGAGGCCAUAUGUGAAAAUAUAUCCAUUUCAAUGUCAAGCCUUCCAUGACUGCACUUAUGGAAGGCUGCUCAGAAAAAUGUUUAACUGAUCCUACCAUUUUAUGAAGAUUGUCAAAAAAAUUAUCUUGUAUUAAAGCAAUCAAUGCUGAUAUCCACUACUACUACUGCCUGAAAACAAAACCGGAAAUGAUUGGGCUGCAUAUAUUUAUGUUAGAGUAAAAACUUAUCUGUUUGAAUUGGAAUAGUCCAUUGUUGACAUGUAUUAUAAUUAAUAAUUAUAAAUGAAAAGUAACAUUCACAGGUCAGUUGUUAAGGUUGCAAAAUAACAAGUAACAUGAUCAAAAUAACAAAUAAAAUGUAAUAAAUUUACAAAAUAUAUAAUUUUAUUUUGUAAAUAUU
RNAcentral lists this long non-coding RNA (768 nucleotides) under Androctonus crassicauda. The record is from RNAcentral. Lineage: Eukaryota; Metazoa; Arthropoda; Arachnida; Scorpiones; Buthidae.